AGAAACUUAAGUUAUAUCAAACUAGGAGCCUUCAAAGCCCCCAAAAAAGAAACACACUUUAGUUUCUG
This 68-nucleotide transfer RNA is filed under the name Python regius (ball python). RNAcentral describes it as "tRNA-Trp". RNAcentral also lists the same sequence under 1 other name. Lineage: Eukaryota; Metazoa; Chordata; Lepidosauria; Squamata; Pythonidae. The record is from RNAcentral.